This 577-nucleotide ribosomal RNA is filed under the name uncultured bacterium. RNAcentral's name for it is "bacterial SSU rRNA". It matches the Rfam family "Bacterial small subunit ribosomal RNA", at positions 338 to 917 of the family's 1533-position model. The record is from RNAcentral.
CCUACGGGAGGCAGCAGUGAGGAAUAUUGGACAAUGGGCGCAAGCCUGAUCCAGCCAUGCCGCGUGCAGGAUGACGGUCCUAUGGAUUGUAAACUGCUUUUAUACGAGAAGAAACACUACUUCGUGAAGUAGCUUGACGGUAUCGUAAGAAUAAGGAUCGGCUAACUCCGUGCCAGCAGCCGCGGUAAUACGGAGGAUCCAAGCGUUAUCCGGAAUCAUUGGGUUUAAAGGGUCCGUAGGCGGUUUAAUAAGUCAGUGGUGAAAGCCCAUCGCUCAACGGUGGAACGGCCAUUGAUACUGUUAGACUUGAAUUAUUAGGAAGUAACUAGAAUAUGUAGUGUAGCGGUGAAAUGCUUAGAGAUUACAUGGAAUACCAAUUGCGAAGGCAGGUUACUACUAAUUGAUUGACGCUGAUGGACGAAAGCGUGGGUAGCGAACAGGAUUAGAUACCCUGGUAGUCCACGCCGUAAACGAUGGAUACUAGCUGUUGGGAGCAAUCUCAGUGGCUAAGCGAAAGUGAUAAGUAUCCCACCUGGGGAGUACGUUCGCAAGAAUGAAACUCAAAGGAAUUGAACGG